This 431-nucleotide ribosomal RNA is filed under the name uncultured bacterium. RNAcentral describes it as "partial 16S ribosomal RNA". It matches the Rfam family "Bacterial small subunit ribosomal RNA", at positions 29 to 507 of the family's 1533-position model. The record is from RNAcentral.
AACGAACGCUGGCGGCAGGCUUAACACAUGCAAGUCGAACGCCCCGCAAGGGGCGUGGCAGACGGGUGAGUAACGCGUGGGAACAUACCCUUUUCUACGGAAUAGCUCUGGGAAACUGGAAUUAAUACCGUAUACGCCCUACGGGGGAAAGAUUUAUCGGGGAAGGAUUGGCCCGCGUUGGAUUAGCUAGUUGGUGGGGUAAAGGCCUACCAAGGCGACGAUCCAUAGCUGGUCUGAGAGGAUGAUCAGCCACAUUGGGACUGAGACACGGCCCAAACUCCUACGGGAGGCAGCAGUGGGGAAUAUUGGACAAUGGGCGCAAGCCUGAUCCAGCCAUGCCGCGUGAGUGAUGAGGGCCUUAGGGUUGUAAAGCUCUUUCACCGAUGAAGAUAAUGACGGUAGUCGGAGAAGAAGCCCCGGCUAACUUCGUG